CUGACUGAGAGAGAGCAUGUAAAAGAUAUUAUAGUACAGAUUUCUUAUCAGUCACUGCACUACUCGAAAGAUCAACGAAUCAUGGCAUCCACUAUUAGGCUACGUCAUCUCCACUUUCUAUGGCUAGGAUAGGCCAUCAAUCAAAUGAUGUUGCUUUCAGCCCAAAUUUGGGAGUGCGAGAGGAUGAGUGUGGAUACGACAGGAAUGCGCAGUAUGAAGGGGGUGCUUGGUGUCGGGAGGCGAGGAAAGAUUUAUAUGGGAAUACCCAGAAGCUUUAAAUCUUUCCUUUACCACCGAUACCUAUCCUUUUCAUCCUACACUCCUGUACUUUCCUCACAUGAACGCGGACACCUUAAACCUGGUAUGCUUUACUUAUCUAACUCUGUUUUUGCCCUGGUUAAUGAAAGUUUAGGGUCAUUUACUGAGAUCUAUGGUUAAUGGUAGCAGGACUCAAACCCGUAACCCAACAGAGAUGCGAAUUUCUAGGGUUUCUCUGAUGUAGGUGUUUACUAGGGUUUCAUUGAUGUGGGCUGUUUAUCAGGUUUUUAUUUUUAUUUUUAUUUUUAUAUAUUCGAAUUUCUCGGGUUUUUCUGAUGUAGGUGUUUACUAGGGUUUCAUCAAUGUGGGCUGUUUAUCAGGGCUUUUUUGAUGUGGGUUUUAGGUAAGAUUUCACCGUUGUGGGGUGUUUUUAUUGAUGUGGGUCUAUCAAGGGAUUUUUUAAUUUUUUUUAUUUGGAUAUUUAUCGGGUUUCUUUGAUAUGGGCAUUUAGUAGGGUUUAUUUGAUGAGGGUCUUUGCUCUGGUUUCUUUGACAUGGGUAAGAUAUUUAGGCUUUACCCAGUAAGGAUUUUGGAUCUUUUGUCUAAAAUGACUUUGUUGUGCAGAAUUAAGGGUUAGGGUUUCAUUAAUGUGGGUAUUAAUGAGAUUUCUACGAUGUGGGUAUUUAUAGGUUUCCAUUGCUGUUUAUUCAUCAAAGUGUCUUUGAUUGGUUAACAGAUUCAUGCUUUACUCAGUAAGGAGCUUGGGUUUUACCCUUUAAAUUCGCUUCUUUUGCAGAGUUAAAGAGUUAACUUUGUGAACUUAGAUACGCUUUUUACUUUUUUCUUUUUUCUUUUUGGUUCCUACCUUACAGUCUCUUGGAUUGGAUACAUUCAUUUGUUAAUGUUUUUUAUAUUUCUAUCUAAGGUAGCCAUAUGAUUUUGGCCAUCUUCUUAUCUUUCUGAAUAAUUGAGGGACUGCGAUUGGUUAUUUUCGAGUGCAAUUGCUCGAUCUUGGUUGAGGUUGAAAUAUUCAAUAUUAGAACUGAGAAUAAAGUCCCACAGUG
Long non-coding RNA from Cryptomeria japonica (Japanese cedar), 1322 nucleotides. RefSeq lists it as uncharacterized. The record is from RefSeq and is a predicted model, not a curated record. Lineage: Eukaryota; Viridiplantae; Streptophyta; Pinopsida; Cupressales; Cupressaceae. The transcript has 2 exons.